UAGCUCAGAUGAUAGAGAAUCUGCCUGAAGUGCAGGAGACCCAGGUUCAAUCCCUGG
This 57-nucleotide transfer RNA is filed under the name Ovis aries (sheep). It matches the Rfam family "tRNA", at positions 8 to 63 of the family's 71-position model. Rfam says of the family: Transfer RNA (tRNA) molecules are approximately 80 nucleotides in length. Their secondary structure includes four short double-helical elements and three loops (D, anti-codon, and T loops). The record is from Rfam by way of RNAcentral. Lineage: Eukaryota; Metazoa; Chordata; Mammalia; Artiodactyla; Bovidae.